UUCCGGUUGAUCCUGCCGGCGGCCACCGCUAUUGGAAUUCGAUUAAGACAUGCGAGUCGAGAGUCUUAGGGACUCGGCGGACGGCUCAGUAACACGCGGAUAAUCUGCCCUUAGGUGGAGGAUAACCUCGGGAAACUGAGAAUAAUACUCCAUAUGUCUAGAAUGCUGGAAUGCUUUUAGGCUUAAAGCUCCGGCGCCUAAGGAUGAAUCUGCGGCCUAUCAGGUUGUAGUGGGUGUAACGGACCCACUAGCCUACGACGGGUACGGGCUUUGGGAGAAGUUGCCCGGAGAUGGACUCUGAGACACGAGUCCAGGCCCUACGGGGUGCAGCAGUUGCGAAAACUUCACAAUGUCGGAAACGGCGAUGAGGGAAUUCCAAGUGCCAACACUUUGUGUUGGCUGUUUGUUUGCCUAAAAAGCAGAUAAAGUAAGAGCCGGGUAAGACGGGUGCCAGCCGCCGCGGUAAUACCCGCGGCUCGAGUGGUGGUCAUUUUUAUUGAGCUUAAAGCGUUCGUAGCCUGUCCAGUAAAUCCUUGGGUAAAUCGGGCAGCUUAACUGUUCGAAUUCCGAGGAGACUGCUGGACUUGGGACCGGAAGAGGUCAAAAGUACUCUUGGGGUAGGGGUAAAAUCCUGUAAUCCCACGAGGACUACCAGUGGCGAAGGCGUUUGACUAGGACGGAUUCGACGGUAAGGAACGAAACCCCGGGUCGCAAACGGGAUUAGAUACCCCGGUAGUCCGGGGCGUAAACGCUGCAGGCUUGGUGUUGGGGGCUCUACGAGAGCGCCCAGUGCCGAAGAGAAAUUGUUAAGCCUGCCGCUUGGGGAGUACGGUCGCAAGACUGAAACUUAAAGGAAUUGGCGGGAGAGCACAGCAACGGGAGGAGCGUGCGGUUCAAUUGGAUUCAACGCCGGAAAACUCACCGGGGGCGACGGUUACAUGAAGGCCAAGCUGAUGACUUUGCCUGAUUUUCCGAGAGGUGGUGCAUGGCCGUCGUCAGUUCGUACCGUAGGGCGUUCUGUUAAGUCAGAUAACGAACGAGACCCUCACCCUUAGUUGCUACCGAUUCCCUUCGGGGAUGAGGAGCCACAACCAGAGCUUGCUCAGGGGGAACUCUAAGGAGACCGCUGGCGCUAAGUCAGAGGAAGGAGAGAUCAACGGUAGGUCAGUACGCCCCGAAUCCCCCGGGCUACACGCGCGCUACAAAGGACAGGACAACGGGCUCCAACGUCGAAAGGCGAAGGCAAUCCCGAAACCUGUCCGUAGUUUGGAUUGAGGACUGUAACUCGUCCUCAUGAAAAUGGAUUCCGUAGUAAUCGUGUGUCAACAUCGCACGGUGAAUAUGCCUCUGCUCUUUGCACACACCGCCCGU
RNAcentral lists this ribosomal RNA (1371 nucleotides) under uncultured euryarchaeote. RNAcentral describes it as "bacterial SSU rRNA". It matches the Rfam family "Archaeal small subunit ribosomal RNA". The record is from RNAcentral. Lineage: Archaea; Methanobacteriati; Methanobacteriota.